This 70-nucleotide transfer RNA is filed under the name Hypselotriton orphicus. RNAcentral's name for it is "tRNA-Met". The record is from RNAcentral. Lineage: Eukaryota; Metazoa; Chordata; Amphibia; Caudata; Salamandridae.
AGUAAGAUAAGCUAAAUUAAGCUUUUGGGCCCAUACCCCAAAUAUGUUGGCGAAAACCCAUCUCUUACUA